CGUUAAAGUACAACCCCUGAAAAUGGCAAAAACGACAAAAUUUUGCAGAGAAAAUUCAAAAUAACUGACUUCCUGUUGGGAUUCGAAUUUCGUACCAAGAGACUUUUUUGUAGGUAUUGGUGUGUUACAUGUGUGUACCGAUUUUUGUACAUGUACGUGAAAUGUAGCUCGAGGCACACUCCGUUGAAAGUGUAUAGGUGGCGCUAUCGAGGCAUUUUGCCACACCCGAUGGAAUAUUGGCCUUCAGAUGUGUUCAGGCCAGGACUCUUAUCAAACAUGUGAAGUUUGGGCAAGAUCGGACAUUUUAUGCCUGAGUUACAAUAAUUUUUAUUCCCAUGGCGAGACAUCGAACUUUGUGACGGCGCCAUGGACACGCCCUUUAACGAAAACUCAAGAUCUUCACAAUUUAACAUCGCACAGGCCUUUAGAAUAGAGUGACUGAAAAAAAAAAAUUAUGUCAUAAAAUUUCUCGGGGUAGUUUGUUACAGCGUAAAAUAUGUCACUUCCUGUUGCCAUUAGGUGGCGCUAUGACUAUAACUGAAUAUGGGCAUAUCAAUCUGUUCAGGUCAGGAGUCUUAUCAAACAUGUGAAGUUUGGGGCAGAUUGGACAUUGUAUGUCUGAGUUAUAGCAACUUCAUUUUUCAUGGCGAAUCAUCGAAAUUCGUCAGGCCGCCACGGACACGCCCUUCAACGAAAACUCAAGAUCUUCGCAAUUUAACAUCGCAAAGGCCUUUAGAUUAGGCAUACCAAAUUUGGUGUUGAUCUGAAUAAAUCUCUAGGAGGAGUUCGUUAAAAUACAAGGCAUGCAAAUGACAAAAAAAUUACCCAAAAUUUGCUCAUAAAAUUCAAAAUAACCGACUUCCUGUUGGGUUUCGGAUAUUGCUCCAAGAGUCUUUUUUGUAGGUACUGAUGCUUUACAUAUGUGUGCCAAUUUUCGUGCAUGUACGUGAAACACAGCUUGAGGGCUGAUGAUUUUUUUACGAUAGGUGGCGCUGUCGAGCCAUUUUGCCACACCCUCUUCUGAAACCUAUAUCAGACGUAAAUUUUCACCAGGUCUGACGCGUGUGCAAAGUUUCAGGACUUUUCGAGCAUGUUUAGGCCCUCAAAAAUGCGAUUCAUUUUGGAGAAGAAGAAGAAUAAUAAUAAUAAUAAACAAAGCAGAUACAAUAGGGUCCUCACACCAUCGGUGCUCGGGCCCUAAUUAAAGCUGCAAGCAGCGAUGAACGGGCCCUCGCACCCGGGCUCACCGCCAGCGGGUGGCUUUAGUAAAACAGCGAACGGCGAGAAAUAUGCGUUUAAUGUGGUAAAUAUAAGAGAAAUAUGUCAAAGUGAUUUAUAUGUGCCAAUCUUCCUGCUGCCAGCUGGUGGCGCUAUGACUAUAACUCAAUUUUAGCAUGUAGAUUUCUUCAGUCCAGCACUUUUAUCAAGCCUAUGAAAUUUAGUGCAGAUUGAACAUGGAAUGUUUGAUUUAGUAUAAAGCAUGUGGUGUCCUAUUGCCAACAGGUGGCGCUAUGAUUAUAACUGAAUAUUGGCCUUUAGAUAUCUUCAGGCCAUGACUCUUUCCAAAUAUUUGAAGUUUGGUGCAGAUUGGACAUUGCAUGUUUAAGUUAGUGUAAAACAAGCCAUUUUCUGUUGUCAGCAG
This is a long non-coding RNA of Cyprinus carpio carpio, 1642 nucleotides long. The record is from Ensembl. NCBI's taxonomy places the organism in Eukaryota, Metazoa, Chordata, Actinopteri, Cypriniformes, Cyprinidae.